UGCCGGCGACCGGCGGACGGGUGCGUAACGCGUAUGUAACCUACCUUUGACAGGGGGAUAACAUCGAGAAAUUGGUACUAAUACCCCAUAACAUCACCGGAGGCAUCUUCGGUGGUUGAAAACUCAGGUGGUCAGAGAUGGACAUGCGUUGUAUUAGCUAGUUGGUGAGGUAACGGCUCACCAAGGCGACGAUACAUAGGGGGACUGAGAGGUCAACCCCCCAUAUUGGUACUGAGACACGGACCAAACUCCUACGGGAGGCAGCAG
Molecule: ribosomal RNA, 267 nt
Filed under: uncultured bacterium
Lineage: Bacteria
Description: partial 16S ribosomal RNA
Rfam family: Bacterial small subunit ribosomal RNA
Source: RNAcentral